GAUAAAUCCAAGAUGGCCGACGGGCCGAAGCUCGCAAGCGCUCCACGCUUAGUUCACGGGACGACGCCGGCGUUUACUAAAUCGAUUACUAAAAGCUACGUCACUGGGUCAUAUUGUACGACUCGGUCGCGUCAUAUCCGUCACCAAUAAUUCUUGGAUAGGACGCGGUUACACAUUUUGAAUGGAAGGGGGAUUUUUUACCUGAGGACUAUUUACGAAUAAGGCGUGCAGAUAACGGAAAACGAUACAAGCUGUUAUAAAUUUAUCCAAUCGAUCAACACAGUUAUUAUGCCCUCAAAUAGCUGUACCCCCCUUAAGGUGACCAGCCAUCAGCCGAGGAUGAAUAUCGAUCGUUGUCGGUUACGAGGGGCAGAAUUGAAAGUGAGGAAAAGACGCAAUUUCGAACGAUUCAAAUACUCAUCACGGCAUGUAAGAUACGAGGACAUUCGUUGCAGUUACUCGAUACGCUACAUGGUGAACGUCGGAUCUAAGUGAUUCACCAGAGCAUCCAGUGACGCAGUUUGACUGACGUAAACUGGGGCUUAUCGUUGACUACAGAGCACCGAAAGUGGUCCAGAAAAGCCAGAGACCAACAGUGAACGACGGCGAGAUUAGAUAAGCCAGCUCACUGCAUAUACUUGAUUGAUGAUAAGCGGAGU
Molecule: long non-coding RNA, 659 nt
Filed under: Neodiprion lecontei (redheaded pine sawfly)
Lineage: Eukaryota; Metazoa; Arthropoda; Insecta; Hymenoptera; Diprionidae
Description: uncharacterized LOC124294480
Source: RNAcentral